UGGGGUAUUGUGCACAGAAAAAGUGAAGAAGAGCUUUAUUUUUGAUGGACCUUCUUUUUUAAACCCUAGAAUGAGAAGCAGUGAGAUAAUGUCAGGUCGUGGUCUGUAGUUGAGAUAAUGUCAGGUAGUGUCUGUAGUUGAGAUAAUGUCAGGUAGUGUCUGUAGUUGAGAUAAUGUCAGGUAGUAGUCUGUAGUUGAGAUAAUGGCAGGUAGUGUGUGUAGUUGAGAUAAUGUCAGGUAGUAGUCUGUAGUUGAGAUAAUGUCAGGUAGUAGUCUGUAGUUGAGAUAAUGGCAGGUAGUGGUCUGUAGUUAUAUGAAUAGAAGCAGUGAGAUAAUAUCAGGUAGUGUCUGUAGUUGAGAUAAUGUCAGGUAGUAAUCUGUAGUUGAGAUAAUGGCAGGUAGUGUCUGUAGUUGAGAUAAUGGCAGGUAGUGUCUGUAGUUGAGAUAAUGUCAGGUAGUGGUCUGUAGUUGAGAUAAUGUCAGGUAGUAGUCUGUAGUUGAGAUAAUGUCAGGUAGUAGUCUGUAGUUGAGAUAAUGGCAGGUAGUGGUCUGUAGUUAUAUGAAUAGAAGCAGUGAGAUAAUAUCAGGUAGUGUCUGUAGUUGAGAUAAUGUCAGGUAGUGUCUGUAGUUGAGAUAAUGUCAGGUAGUAGUCUGUAGUUGAGAUAAUGUCAGGUAGUGGUCUGUAGUUAUAUGAAUAGAAGCAGUGAGAUAAUAUCAGGUAGUGUCUGUAGUUG
Molecule: long non-coding RNA, 734 nt
Organism: Clupea harengus (Atlantic herring)
Lineage: Eukaryota; Metazoa; Chordata; Actinopteri; Clupeiformes; Clupeidae
Source: Ensembl